Molecule: ribosomal RNA, 731 nt
Filed under: uncultured bacterium
Lineage: Bacteria
Description: bacterial SSU rRNA
Rfam family: Bacterial small subunit ribosomal RNA
Source: RNAcentral
GGACCAGCACUGACACUGAGGCACGAAAGCGUGGGGAGCAAACAGGAUUAGAUACCCUGAUAGUCCACGCCCUAAACGAUGCGAACUGGAUGUUGGGGGCAACUUGGCCCUCAGUAUCGAAGCUAACGCGUUAAGUUCGCCGCCUGGGAAGUACGGUCGCAAGACUGAAACUCAAAGGAAUUGACGGGGGCCCGCACAAGCGGUGGAGUAUGUGGUUUAAUUCGACGCAACGCGAAGAACCUUACCUGGGCUCGAACGGCUUCGGCAAGCUGGUGGAAACACUGGCCCUGCCGCAAGGCAUCGGAGUCGAGGUGCUGCAUGGCUGUCGUCAGCUCGUGUCGUGAGAUGUUGGGUUAAGUCCCGCAACGAGCGCAACCCUUGUCCUGUGUUGCCAGCAUUUAGUUGGGCACUCUCAGGAGACCGCCAGCGAUAAGCUGGAGGAAGGUGGGGAUGACGUCAAGUCAUCAUGGCCUUUAUGUCCAGGGCUACACACGUGCUACAAUGGCCGGUACAAUGCGCUGCAAACCCGCGAGGGUGAGCUAAUCGCAUAAAGCCGGUCUCAGUUCGGAUUGCAGGCUGCAACUCGCCUGCAUGAGGCUGGAAUCGCUAGUAAUGGCGUAUCAGAAUGACGCCGUGAAUACGUUCCCGGGCCUUGUACACACCGCCCGUCACAUCACGAAAGUGGGUUGUACUAGAAGUUACACGCCAACCGCAAGGAGGCAGUGCCCAAG